CCUACGGGAGGCAGCAGUGAGGAAUAUUGGUCAAUGGGCGGAAGCCUGAACCAGCCAAGUAGCGUGCGGGAUGAAGGCCCUACGGGUCGUAAACCGCUUUUGCACGGGGAUAACACCCUCCACUUGUGGAGGUCUGCAGGUACCGUGCGAAUAAGGGCCGGCAAAUUCCGGUCCAGCAGCCGCGGUAAUACGGAAGGCCCGAGCGUUAUCCGGAUUCAUUUGGCUAAAAGGGAGCGUAGGCGGGCGUUAAAGUCAGCUGUAAAAUCGCGGGGCUCAACCGGGCCCCGGAGUUGAAACUGGACGCAUUGAGUUCACAAGAGGCAGGCGGAAUUCGUGGUGUAGCGGUGAAAUGCAUAGAUAUGACGAGGAACCCCGAUUGCGAAGGCAGCCUGCCGGGGUGCGACUGACGCUGAGGCUCGAAGGUGCGGGUAUCAAACAGGAUUAGAUACCCGAGUAGUC
RNAcentral lists this ribosomal RNA (459 nucleotides) under uncultured bacterium. RNAcentral's name for it is "partial 16S ribosomal RNA". It matches the Rfam family "Bacterial small subunit ribosomal RNA", at positions 338 to 795 of the family's 1533-position model. The record is from RNAcentral.